Long non-coding RNA from Pan troglodytes (chimpanzee), 411 nucleotides. RefSeq lists it as uncharacterized. The record is from RefSeq and is a predicted model, not a curated record. Lineage: Eukaryota; Metazoa; Chordata; Mammalia; Primates; Hominidae. The transcript is spliced from 4 exons.
AUCACACACGACCAAAACAGCAGGGCGCUCUCUCAAGUCUCCUCUUACUGUGCCAUCGUGGGGAACAGUCUCAUAGAGACAGAGACAGUGUGUACCAUUUUAUAAUCUGAGAGCUCUGCGUCUUCUAAGACCUGAGGAAGGUCAUCCCAGCUUUCUGUCAGGAAAGGAAACAGCACUUCUCAAAAAAUAGAAAGAGCAUGAUAUGGAGCUGGAGAGGAGGGGAGAGGAGAACAGAAGCCAAGGUGGGAAAGGACACCUGGCAGAGACAACAUCUGGAUCCUGAACCUGGAGGAGAAAUCCACUUAUAUCUCACUUUAGAUUUGCCAGCUGCUUUUAUUUUUAUUUGGACUUACAGAAAGGUUGAGAAGAAAAUACGGGAGUGAACUGUAGCAAUAAACGGUUUGUGGGUAA